RNAcentral lists this ribosomal RNA (392 nucleotides) under uncultured Alphaproteobacteria bacterium. RNAcentral describes it as "bacterial SSU rRNA". It matches the Rfam family "Bacterial small subunit ribosomal RNA", at positions 370 to 779 of the family's 1533-position model. The record is from RNAcentral. Lineage: Bacteria; Pseudomonadati; Pseudomonadota; Alphaproteobacteria.
AAUGGAGGAAACUCUGACGCAGCCAUGCCGCGUGAGUGAUGAAGGCCCUAGGGUUGUAAAACUCUUUCAGAUGUGAAGAUAAUGACGGUAACAUCAGAAGAAGCCCCGGCUAACUUCGUGCCAGCAGCCGCGGUAAUACGAAGGGGGCGAGCGUUGUUCGGAAUCACUGGGCUUAAAGCGUACGUAGGCGGGAUUGAAAGUCAGAAGUGAAAUCCCAGGGCUCAACCCUGGAACUGCUUUUGAAACUUCAAUCCUGGAGUCCCGGAGAGGUUAGCUGAAUUCCGAGUGUAGAGGUGAAAUUCGCAGAUAUUCGGAGGAAUACCAGUGGCGAAGGCGGCUAACUGGACGGGUACUGACGCUGAGGUACGAAAGCGUGGGGAGCAAACAGGAUU